This 2176-nucleotide ribosomal RNA is filed under the name Triticum aestivum (bread wheat). RNAcentral's name for it is "partial small subunit ribosomal RNA". Lineage: Eukaryota; Viridiplantae; Streptophyta; Magnoliopsida; Poales; Poaceae. The record is from RNAcentral.
ACCUUGCGCAUUAAGGCAAAUUUUAAACUUCAUUCUACGGCAUUAAGGUAAAUCGUCUCACUAUAACGUGUACAUAUCUAUAACGUGUAAAUCGAUUUAGUCGGUCUGCGGGGAGUUAUGUGGUAAAGGGGAGCCGAGCCUAUGAAACUACUUCUACUCCGAGGAGACGGACGAGCACGACGACAACGAUACCUGCCGUCACCACGCUCGUAGACGUCCGUGCGUGCCUUCGGUCCGGCCCUUGUCCUCACGAGAAGGGAGGGACCGGCCGACGGGCUUCUCGACACCGUUGGAGUCAAAGCUGAUGGGCAAGCCGUAUCCCGGCCCGACGAAGGUCGGCGGUGUCGUUCCGAAACUUGAGUAGACGUUAUCUUCGUGGGUGCCACGGAGCGUCGGGGGGUCUGAGAAGGACGCGCUGCCGUAGUGGCUCCAACAGUUACUGUAGUCUGGGCCGCUGUGUAGUCCAUAACUACAUAGCAAAAGGGUUAGGCAGAGGCACUCUGGACUCCACCUACGUAUGUUGUAGAGGACCUUGGGACCCUCUAGAGAGCCAUAGUUAAUGUAUAUAAAUUUGAAGUGACCAACGCUGAAGUUGUACAUACACGAGGUCGUGCUGUGCUUGUUCUACCACCCAGUCACGUCAAGAUGUACGGGACUGCUUCUAUAGUGUCUAUGUCACCGGUCCGUCCUGACGUUGCCAUGUCCUACAACGUGACGGCAUCCAAUGAGACUCAACCCACGGCCGAACCUGUAGUUCAAACAGGCGGUGUUCUAACCUUUCGCCUUCAAGGUUAGCGUCUCAUUGGCUUCGAGGUAUACCCUAUGUUAAUUACAUCAUUGGAGACUAAUGCGGAUAUAAAUGACCCGUUAGCGGCAACUACUUCUAAUACGUACAGAGUCAUUGGUAUCAUCACCCGUUAAGCUAAGUCGAUUGCAGUGAAUAAUAACAAGGACACUGGCACCAAUGGCUCCGUUAGGUAUGUAUUGGUUACCGACGAGCGCACUGUUUCCCAUGGUAGCCUAUGUUGCCUUCUGGUUGACGAGAUCUAUCACACCCCUUUAGUUACAUGGAAAGGGUAAACCGGAUCUCCCGCUAACAAGUCGUUCCUACAGUAAAGUCGAGUUAACGUGUUUAGGCUGUUACAAACGGGAGGUCAAAGGUUUACUCAUACUAUGUCCUAUGAGGUUGUGAAUACAUUUCAUAUAUCUAUAGUGUCUCCCCGACUACUUACAAUGUAUGUCGAAUUUACCGGUUCCCAUGGAAACCUACGCUCAUGGACUAGGUCCGGAGAUAUAACGGAGGCUCCCACAUUAUGCUGUCGUCACCCAGCAUCGGUUAAAUUGUACGGGACUCCGUGUCCUCUUAUCCUGGCCUAUACGUACGCAGUCGUACUUAUAGUGUACGAACCCACAGUUGAGGUUUGUUCUUAUGCAGCCAAUGGCAACGUUUACACACCGUCCGAAACUGCCCUUAGGUAUAUAGCGCUUACCCACGUUUCUACAACUGCUCACGUUCUGUGGUCCGUGUACAUUACCCUAAACAGUAUUGUGGCUUCCUUCAGUGAUAACGUGGUUUACAGGAUCUUUAUGUCACAUACUAUGAUGUUAUUUCUACACAUAGCGGUGACCCUAACCGCAACCAAAACCUCAAGAUGAAGAGUAUAGUUAAGAUUGUAAUAAGCGGGCAUCUACCCUUUUUCUGUAGUUCUUCUUUGACGCUUCUUUCGUAAAAGCCGUCUUGGUUCCAGGCGAGGAACUUGUUAACUAUAGCAGUCUACUUUUACGCUCACUAUUGUGAUUCUAAAAGAGUGAUAGUCUCAAUCUUUUCCGUUGUUUAUUAAAAAUAGGGUGUGCAUAGCAACCAGCACCUCCCGUACCGUACCAAAUAUUUCCGUAGAAUAGGCUGGUUGCCCAUCACCGGUAUUUCUUCAGAUUUCAGUAACUCGUUCAACUCUAUUCGGUCAAAUAGUUACUCCAACGUCAGGAGAGGGUCCAUUUAGUGGCCUUAUAACACUUCGAGAAGCCAACAACAGAACUCUGUCUUCAGGGUGACGAUCAUUCGACGACCUCGUGAGAUAAUGGAGGUGAGCCGACGAAGUCAUAGCUAUAAAGUAGCACUACACUUCAGGUGAUUGUAUGAGAAUCUACCUUUAAUGUGACGUUUUCAAAGUCUAAA